UACGAAGGGGGCUAGCGUUGUUCGGAAUUACUGGGCGUAAAGCGCGUGUAGGCGGGUCUUUAAGUCAGAGGUGAAAUCCCAAGGCUCAACCGUGGAACUGCCUUUGAUACUGGGCAUCUUGAGUUCGGGAGAGGUGAGUGGAACUGCGAGUGUAGAGGUGAAAUUCGUAGAUAUUCGCAAGAACACCAGUGGCGAAGGCGGCUCACUGGCCCGAUACUGACGCUGAGGUGCGAAAGCGUGGGGAGCAAACAGG
This 253-nucleotide ribosomal RNA is filed under the name uncultured bacterium. Its description in RNAcentral is "partial 16S ribosomal RNA". It matches the Rfam family "Bacterial small subunit ribosomal RNA", at positions 524 to 776 of the family's 1533-position model. The record is from RNAcentral.